GUGCUCUCUUCAGCGGUGCAGGUACGAAAAUUGAAAUGUUGUGGAGAUUAGUAUGGCCCGUGUGCAAGGAUGACACGCAAAUUCAUGAAAAAACCCCCAGUGUG
Molecule: small nuclear RNA, 104 nt
Filed under: Chinchilla lanigera (long-tailed chinchilla)
Lineage: Eukaryota; Metazoa; Chordata; Mammalia; Rodentia; Chinchillidae
Source: RNAcentral